This 862-nucleotide ribosomal RNA is filed under the name Hypocrella discoidea. RNAcentral's name for it is "eukaryotic LSU rRNA". It matches the Rfam family "Eukaryotic large subunit ribosomal RNA", at positions 72 to 945 of the family's 3401-position model. Lineage: Eukaryota; Fungi; Ascomycota; Sordariomycetes; Hypocreales; Clavicipitaceae. The record is from RNAcentral.
GGAUUGCCCCAGUAACGGCGAGUGAAGCGGCAACAGCUCAAAUUUGAAAUCUGGCCCCUCCCACGGGGGGGCCCGAGUUGUAAUUUGCAGAGGAUGCUUCUGGCGAGGUGCCUUCCGAGUUCCCUGGAACGGGACGCCACAGAGGGUGAGAGCCCCGUCUGGUCGGACACCGAGCCUCUGUGAAGCUCCUUCGACGAGUCGAGUAGUUUGGGAAUGCUGCUCUAAACGGGAGGUAUAUGUCUUCUAAAGCUAAAUACCGGCCAGAGACCGAUAGCGCACAAGUAGAGUGAUCGAAAGAUGAAAAGCACUUUGAAAAGAGGGUUAAACAGUACGUGAAAUUGUUGAAAGGGAAGCGCUCACGACCAGACCUGGUCCCGGCGAAUCACCCGGCGUUCUCGCCGGUGCACUUCGUCGGGCUUCCAGGCCAGCAUCGGUCCGCGCCGGGGGACAAAGGCGGCGGGAACGUGGCUCCCCAGGGAGUGUUAUAGCCCGCCGCGCAAUGCCCCGGGGGCGGACCGAGGACCGCGCGUCACCGCAAGGAUGCUGGCGUAAUGGUCGUCAGCGACCCGUCUUGAAACACGGACCAAGGAGUCGUCCUCGUAUGCGAGUGUUGGGGCGUCAAACCCCCCGCGCGUAAUGAAAGUGAACGGCAGGUGAGAGCCCUCGCGGGCGCAUCAUCGACCGAUCCUGAUGUUCUCGGAUGGAUUUGAGUAGGAGCAUACGGGGCCGGACCCGAAAGAAGGUGAACUAUGCCUGUGUAGGGUGAAGCCAGAGGAAACUCUGGUGGAGGCUCGCAGCGGUUCUGACGUGCAAAUCGAUCGUCAAACAUGGGCAUGGGGGCGAAAGACUAAUCGAACCUUCU